RNAcentral lists this ribosomal RNA (273 nucleotides) under uncultured Anoxybacillus sp. RNAcentral describes it as "partial 16S ribosomal RNA". It matches the Rfam family "Bacterial small subunit ribosomal RNA", at positions 1109 to 1382 of the family's 1533-position model. Lineage: Bacteria; Bacillati; Bacillota; Bacilli; Caryophanales; Anoxybacillaceae. The record is from RNAcentral.
CCUUAGUUGCCAGCAUUCAGUUGGGCACUCUAAGGUGACUGCCGGCUAAAAGUCGGAGGAAGGUGGGGAUGACGUCAAAUCAUCAUGCCCCUUAUGACCUGGGCUACACACGUGCUACAAUGGGCGGUACAAAGGGUCGCGAACCCGCGAGGGGGAGCCCAAUCCCAAAAAGCCGCUCUCAGUUCGGAUUGCAGGCUGCAACUCGCCUGCAUGAAGCCGGAAUCGCUAGUAAUCGCGGAUCAGCAUGCCGCGGUGAAUACGUUCCCGGGCCUU